AGAGAUCACAAUAUUUUCCUUUUGGGAUAACUGCAGAGAGCUGGGUAGACUCUUACCUUCUCUGAGAAACAUUCACAAGAGAAAAACUGCAGGCUGGACAAAACAGAUUUUCUUUGCUUUUGACAUUUUCCACUACUCUCUAUUUUCCAGCUCUUUCUUUGCUCUGAUGUGCAUCCUCUCUCAGCUUUUCUGCUGCGGUUAUAUGCCCAUAAUAUCUUCACAGUCCCAGUUAUAUCUGCAUUUGCCAGGGCAACAGACUGAAAGAAGUCUAUGACAACAACUCUAGGAUCUUGGAUAGUCUCUGUCCCAUCCCAGUGUGCUUUCUCUGCAGGGAAGGAGUGUAGAGGACCGGUUCUCUACAUGUGGUUUUGUCUCGACAUUGCUGCUGCUGCUGCUGCAAAGCCGCUGCUGCCAAGGCGCGUUGGGCAAUGCCGUGCUGGUGCCCCCGGGAGCCGUCCGCGAGGUAAACAACCUCGUGCACCUGCACGAGGUAAAAAGGGUGCGAAAAGGGCAGAAGGUCAUCUCUAGGGCAUGAACCGCAUGUACUCAUUUGCCAUCUGCGCAUGAGCAGGAGACCCCCAGAUGCCCCAGCCCGUUUCUGGAAGGUUCCGAGAGGGCGGACUGCGCAUGACAGUUAAUCUGCAUGGGAAGUGAGGAAGCACCUCCCAGAGGUGGGGCAAGAACCUAUAACAACUGCAGACGGCGUGAAUAGAGGGGGGGCUUGUUUGCGACGACUGAGGAACUCGAGCAGAGUUAGCGGAACCAGACGGGAGUUUCCCACCGCUGUCCCCCCGCCCCCGCCACCGAGACUCCCAAGAGAAGAGGACCAACGGGAUGCCGCUGGAUCCACGGGUGGUGAUAUCUAUCUUUCUCUCUCUCUCUCUCUCUCUCUCUGUCUUCUCCUUUUCCUCUUUUUUCCCUAAACGUGUGAUGCGGGACGUGUCUAGUUAGUUGAUUCCUUAAUAAAUCUUAAAAUUGGU
Dromaius novaehollandiae (emu) is the source of this 980-nucleotide long non-coding RNA. RefSeq lists it as uncharacterized. The transcript is spliced from 2 exons. The record is from RefSeq and is a predicted model, not a curated record. NCBI's taxonomy places the organism in Eukaryota, Metazoa, Chordata, Aves, Casuariiformes, Dromaiidae.